CACCCCUCAAACUUAGGUUUGAUGUUGGGCAUUGCUGUAAGGGCAUGCCUAAAAAUUAGCGAUGGUAACCUUCAACCACAGGCGCACAAAUGUCGCAAUGUUGGAAGUUGGGGGCCAGUCUUUAACAAAAUUUUCUAAA
This 139-nucleotide unclassified non-coding RNA is filed under the name uncultured Ascomycota. Its description in RNAcentral is "sequence contains ITS2". The record is from RNAcentral. Lineage: Eukaryota; Fungi; Ascomycota.